Long non-coding RNA from Vitis riparia (riverbank grape), 1737 nucleotides. RefSeq lists it as uncharacterized. The transcript has 3 exons. Lineage: Eukaryota; Viridiplantae; Streptophyta; Magnoliopsida; Vitales; Vitaceae. The record is from RefSeq and is a predicted model, not a curated record.
AUUUAGCAAUGUACUUCAUUCUUUUCAAUUACUAUUCUCAGGUCUCUCCAUCAUCAGCACCAGCUUCAUCUCCUCGGUCAUGUUUUUAUGUUUAUAUGUUAUGGUGUCUAUCUAUGUCAGUUAGGAAAUGCAUAUCACAUUUAGUUGUACAUUCCUACUAGUAAUGUUGGUUAGGAACUAAUGUCUUAGCUCCUGAAUCCUACUAGUGCCUCCUCUCCUUGGCUUCCUGUUCCCUGUCCUUUCUCUCUUAACUUAAUUGCUGACAUUUUCUUUAACAUCUGUAGUACUAAACCUGUUAUAUGAAUUUUUCAUGAAUUUUGGCUGUUUUUGUUUUUUACCUGUGACUAAGAACUAGGGCCGCAGCAUGUAGGUUGGGCUGGGUUGGAAGUUAACUGGAGCCUUACUCUAGGAACUGAACAAUCCUGGCACAUGCACAAGUCAGCCCAAGCCUGGGCUUUUUUUUUUUUGUUGGGAUGAAAUUGCACAAUGAAAGAGAGGUUCUAACCGUAUGAUUCUAAUACAUAACAAACUAUGAUCUUAAGUUUACACAAAACUAACUUUCUGAUUCUUGAAUUUCAGUAUUAUCAACCUAUAAAGCAGCCACUUCAGUUGUUGGAGCUCUAUGAAGAUUCUCUUCUUUUCUGGAAUGGAGAAUUAAAACCAGAUUUGUGAACUUGUUCUGCUACUUGAACCCAAUCAGCCAGCAAGUAGGGAAUAGUUUAUUGGUUUUCAAAAAGGAACAAUUAUUUUUUAACUCAAGACUAAUAUAAUAAAGAUUUUUUUUUUCUUUUUUUUCAAAGAGGGGGAAAAAAAGAAUCGCCCUAGGUCUACAAAAAUUGGUACAUGUAUAGCUGUAGAUUAGAUCAGGCUCAAGCUGAUGCAGGUAUAGCUGUAGAUUACAUUGGGCUAAAGCUGAGUUGCAUUCAGUGAACUUGCCAGAGUGGAGUUGCUUGUCGAUUGGGUUUGGAGAAGGAAUACUUUUUGUAGACAUAAGGCAGAUUUAGGGUGCAAUUCUCUUUCUCCCUUUUUAAAAAGAAAAAAUUUCUGGCAUAUAAAAACAUCAUGCACAUUAUGGAUACACAAAUGACUGUUUAUAGAUAACACAAAAACAUCAGGCUGAGUUUUGGUUACUUGAGGCGUCAUCUGAGGAAUUGGAUUUUGCAGGGGCUUCAACCCAAGGCCAACUGAUGUUCAAGAGCAAGAGUUGAUGUGGGUAGGCUGUUAAGGUGGUUUAAACUCUCCCAAGCUGAGGCCCUUCUAAUUUGGUGAAUAGUAAAUAUAGGCGUGACACAUGAUAUUCCAAAGGUAAAGCCAGAGAGAGGUUUGGGCAUUACUUGUUAGAUCAUGUCGGCUGACUUGGACCAGGGCCUUCUGCUGCUCUUGUCGAGAUAUGGUCGCCAAUGACCUGUGCGCUGGAAUAUCUUGGGAUUCUUUGGGCUAUUUAUUUCAUUUGUCUUGCUCUGACACUGCCGGAGCUGCUCAAGGGGUGUGCUUGUUCAAGGAGCGUUUGGAACAAUAAUUAAGUGACGGGAACAGCUUCUGAUUCAAUUUUUGCUAACAACUUUUCUUAGUUGUUUGAUUGCACACAAACAUAGAAAAGUAAACUUUAAAUUUAAAUUUUGAAGCCUGUAACAGGUGGGGUUUAGAGUUGCAGCUGUGAAAUUCCGAGUUUCAUUUUCAUUGAGUAUAACAGGUACACCAAUAGGCUUAACUCCUUGUGAAUGUUGAACUUUUGAU